RNAcentral lists this ribosomal RNA (718 nucleotides) under Brasenia schreberi. Its description in RNAcentral is "eukaryotic LSU rRNA". The stretch from base 309 to 464 matches the Rfam family "5.8S ribosomal RNA". Lineage: Eukaryota; Viridiplantae; Streptophyta; Magnoliopsida; Nymphaeales; Cabombaceae. The record is from RNAcentral.
GUUUCCGUAGGUGAACCUGCGGAAGGAUCAUUGCCAAUCCUGAUCGACACACCCGCGAACACGUUAUCAUCACUCGUCGUCGGAUUGCCCGCCCCCGGGUGGGCGUCCCCCGACCGGUCGUUGCGCUCCCCUCCCCUCGCCGCCUUGAUCUAGGACCCUCGGGUCCCGGUCGGGUUACGCGUGGUGGGGAUGUCGUUGCGGCCGUAACAAGCAAAACGGCGCCACAGGCGUCAAGGACAAUACCAACAAAGAGCAUCGGCCCGCACCCAUGGCAAUGGGGGGUGACCUUUGCCUCUAUCUAUCUAAACGACUCUCGGCAACGGAUAUCUUGGCUCCCGCAACGAUGAAGAACGUAGCGAAAUGCGAUACUUGAUGUGAAUUGCAGAAUCCCGUGAAUCAUCGAGUCUUUGAACGCAAGUUGCGCCCGAGACCACCCGGUCGAGGGCACACCUGCCUGGGCGUCACGCUAUGCGUCGCUCUCCUCCCACGCCCUUCCCGAAUUGGGGAAGGGUUGGGAGGCGGGCGGAGGACUGGCCGUCGCUGUCCCCGUCGGCAUCGUCGGCUGAAAUGCUAGGCCCGCGUCUCGUUAAGUUGCGGCAAGCGGUGGAACACCUUUAGCCGUCCAACCAUGCGAUGCCCCGGUGCAAGAGGAACUCUGAGGGGGCAAUGCCUCCAGCCUAGCGACCCCAGGUCAGGUGAGACCACCCGCUGAGUUUAA